This 71-nucleotide ribosomal RNA is filed under the name uncultured organism. Its description in RNAcentral is "partial 16S ribosomal RNA". The record is from RNAcentral.
CAGUUUUGACAUACUACCGUUUUAAGAAUCCAGAAAUGGAAUCCUAUCUAAAUUUAUUUGGAUGGUAGAAC